Molecule: ribosomal RNA, 496 nt
Filed under: uncultured bacterium
Lineage: Bacteria
Description: partial 16S ribosomal RNA
Rfam family: Bacterial small subunit ribosomal RNA
Source: RNAcentral
AUGAACGCUGGCGACGUGCCUAAUACAUGCAAGUAGCACGCUGAAGCUUGGUGCUUGCACCGAGCGGAUGAGUUGCGAACGGGUGAGUAACGCGUAGGUAACCUGCCUCUUAGCGGGGGAUAACUAUUGGAAACGAUAGCUAAUACCGCAUAAAAGUCGAUAUCGCCUGAUAUUGAUUUGAAAGGUGCAAUUGCAUCACUAAGAGAUGGACCUGCGUUGUAUUAGCUAGUUGGUGAGGUAACGGCUCACCAAGGCGACGAUACAUAGCCGACCUGAGAGGGUGAUCGGCCACACUGGGACUGAGACACGGCCCAGACUCCUACGGGAGGCAGCAGUAGGGAAUCUUCGGCAAUGGGGGCAACCCUGACCGAGCAACGCCGCGUGAGUGAAGAAGGUUUUCGGAUCGUAAAGCUCUGUUGUAAGAGAAGAACGAGUGUGAGAGUGGAAAGUUCACACUGUGACGGUAACUUACCAGAAAGGGACGGCUAACUACGUG